AUUGAACGCUGGCGGCAUGCCUAACACAUGCAAGUCGAACGGCAGCACGUUUUAGUUUACUAGAAUGGUGGCGAGUGGCGCACGGGUGAGUAAUGCGUAGGAAUAUACCUUGAAGUGGGGGAUAACUUGGGGAAACUUAAGCUAAUACCGCAUACGCCCUACGGGGGAAAGAAGGGGAUCGCAAGACCUUUUGCUAAUAGAUGAGCCUGCGUAGGAUUAGCUAGGUGGUGGGGUAAAAGCUCACCAAGGCGACGAUCCUUAACUGGUUUGAGAGAAUGAUCAGUCACACUGGAACUGAGACACGGUCCAGACUCCUACGGGAGGCAGCAGUGGGGAAUAUUGGACAAUGGGCGAAAGCCUGAUCCAGCAAUACCGCGUGUGUGAAGAAGGCCUUAGGGUUGUAAAGCACUUUCAAUUGGAAGGAAAACCUCGAAGCUAAUACCUUCGAGUUUGACAUUACCUUUAGAAGAAGCACCGGCUAACUCCGUGCCAGCCGCCGCCGUAA
This 505-nucleotide ribosomal RNA is filed under the name uncultured bacterium. RNAcentral's name for it is "partial 16S ribosomal RNA". It matches the Rfam family "Bacterial small subunit ribosomal RNA", at positions 30 to 523 of the family's 1533-position model. The record is from RNAcentral.